RNAcentral lists this unclassified non-coding RNA (192 nucleotides) under fungal sp. RNAcentral's name for it is "partial internal transcribed spacer region". The stretch from base 1 to 46 matches the Rfam family "Eukaryotic small subunit ribosomal RNA", at positions 1786 to 1831 of the family's 1831-position model. The record is from RNAcentral. Lineage: Eukaryota; Fungi.
AAGUCGUAACAAGGUAACCGUAGGUGAACCUGCGGUUGGAUCAUUAUCGAUUCUGCCCUUCUGGGCACCCACACCUGUGAACUGUGCUGUUUCUUGGGCGUGCCUCGGCCGCCCAGCAGUCUAACCACUGAAUCUUGGCUGAGAUUGAAGUUUAAAUAGUAACAACUUUUGACAACGGAUCUCUUGGCUCUC